Musca domestica (house fly) is the source of this 3009-nucleotide RNA transcript. RefSeq lists it as uncharacterized. The record is from RefSeq and is a predicted model, not a curated record. NCBI's taxonomy places the organism in Eukaryota, Metazoa, Arthropoda, Insecta, Diptera, Muscidae. The transcript has 2 exons.
GCUGCGAGCAAAGAACCAUGUAUCUUAUAUUACCACUUUAUUUCUACAGACAAUUGUACUAGUUCAAAUUUCAACAAUUUACGAGUAGAGUUUGGUUUGGGACACUGAUUGUAGUGUAUUUCUACUGACAAUGUCGACAGUUGGCUUUUCUUUUAUUGUCAUUAAAACAUAUUGAAUAUAUACACAUUUUUAUGUAAUUUUUUUGUAGAUCGCAUCGAAACAACGCGUUUUUAUCGGCAAUUAAUUUGUUUUGUGUGUUUUAUUGUUAAAAAGGUGAUUAUUUAUUAAAUAUAUAAACAAAAUGAGUAAAAGAAAUUAUAAAAGAUUAAUUAAAAAACAAAAAAUAUUGUAUAAAAACAGAAGUUUGCAAUGUGAACAAGAAAAUAGUGAAAGUGAAUUUGUGUCAAACGGUGGAGAUUUUAUAAAUGAUUUCGUGGAAAAUGGAAUGGAAGAUUUUGCAGUUCCGAAAUUAAUGUUGCGGGACAAACUUAAAAAGUGGUGCAUGGAAACGAAUCCUUCAAAGAAAUGUUUGGAAAGUCUUUUAUCAAUAUUAAAGGAAGAAGGUCUAGAUGUUCCGCUCACUAGAGAGACUUUGGUGGGCAGAGCAAAAAAUAUGUUAACGAGAAAUGUUGCCCCUGGAAUUUAUUGUCAUAUUGGCAUAGAAACACAACUACGAAAAGUUGGUCACAUUUUGGAAAAGUAUGAGGAAGUCGAACUAGAUAUAAAUAUCGAUGGAAUUCCACUGUUCAAAAGCUCUCGUGUGCAAUUGUGGCCAAUCCUUUGCAGAAUCGUUAAUAUUCAGGAGAAAACAAAACCGUUUGUUGUUGGAUUAUACUUGGGAAACACCAAGCCGGGUAGUGUGAAUGUGUAUUUGAAAGACUUCAUUGAUGAAGUGAUUCUACUAAAAGGUCAGUUUAUCAUACAACAAAAACAUUUAAAAUUGAAGUUUCGUUGCUUAAUAUGUGACGCACCAGCAAAAGCUUUCGUUUGUGGAGUUCCUGGACAUACAUCAACACAUGGCUGCACCAAGUGUACUCAAAUUGCGAAGAAGGUAAACAAUGUCUUGACUUAUAGUAGCGAGAGUGGUUCCCUAAUCUCCGAUGAGGACUUUGCUGUGCGAAAGUAUCCAUGCCACCAUUCCCAAAUGUUCAAAGAAGAAAAAACUCCUCUCGAAGAAAUUGGAUUUGGUAUGAUAAAUCAGACUCCUUUAGAUAGCAUGCAUCUCAUUGACCUCGGAGUCACCAAAAAAAUGCUAACCAGAAUAAUGCAUAAUAAAACUGAAAAGAAAACCUCAAAACAAAAUAUUUCAAAAAUAUCUUCUGAAUUGGUGAAAUUUAAAAAAUACAUUCCAAGGGAAUUCCCAAGAAAACCCAGGCCUUUAGAUGAUCUUUGUCAUUGGAAAGCGACUGAAUUUCACCAGUUCCUUGCUUAUACAGGAAUUAUUGCUCUUUAUAAUAAUGUACACGAAGAUAUUUAUUAUGAAUUUUUAACUUUACAUUGUGCUUAUCGACUUCUUAACAAUGCACGACAUAUGGAUCAAAAUAUUGUUCAAGCUAAUAAUUUGCUUCAAUUAUUUGUCGAGAACUUCUCAACUGUAUUUGGUUCGAACAGCAUUUCUUUUAACGUUCAUAAUCUGCUUCAUUUGGCUUCUUGCGCAGAAAAGUAUGGUCCCCUUAUUUCGUUUUCUGCAUAUGCAUUUGAAAAUAAACUGCAAACACUGAAAAAACAUGUUCGAAAACCAUCACAUAUCUUUCAACAAAUUAUUCAAAAGGAAAAAAAUUGCAUGAUUGUCAACACUAUUCAGGAUGGGUUAAAAUAUGAAAAAGGUGUUAUCGUUGGAGCUUUUGUAAAUGAUUGCUACAUAUCCUGCAAAGAACCAGAUAAUAUUUGCGCGGUGAAUUCAUGCAUUCCAAUAAAAAUUGAUAAUAUAAAGAAAAAGGGCGAAAUAUAUAUUGAAGGCAGUCGAAUUUUGGCAUUAGAAAGUUUCUACGAAGAACCGGUGAAUUCUUGUGAGAUUGGUAUUUUCAAAACGAAUCUGACUCUAGGGGAAAAAGAGACAUUUUGUAUUAAAGACAUUCAGUUCAAAUUUGUAUGCUUGCCAAUUGAUUCUGAUUUUGUAAUCGUGCCCAUUUUACAUUCCUGCUUUCCAGAGAAAUAUCAAGCACAAAUUUUUACCUCCUAAGUACACAACUCCCGCACAUAAACAUGUCGAACGAAAAUGCCAACCCUUCCAAAGGAAAAAUGAAAUAUUUUGCUCCACAAGGUAAUCUCCAAAGAUUAUCACUAAAUUUUUAACAGUAUAACAAAAUUGAGUUCAUAUUUUUGAUAGCUAAUGCAAAAUGUUCUUCCUGCCAAGAAAAUGCCAGAAAACUAGACACGAUUAUUGAUAUUUUGGCGGAGCAUAAAGUUUUACUGGAUCGUGUUAUUUCUCAGAACGCAUUUGUGGACAAUAUUAUGACAAUUUUUCCAAUUGAAUCGGAAGAAAAACUUCGAGAAUUUGAUCGAAUUCUCGCAACACAAGCAGAUCUAUAUGUACGUAUCUGCGUUUUGGGAAUAACAAAUUCAUAACUAAAACAAUUUUUACAAUUGCAGACUCGACAAAUGAAAAAUCUCAUUGCAGGUAACGCUGAACGUAAUUUGCAUAAAGUAUUUGGAAGAAAUAUUAUUAUGGAUUUUAAUGUUGACGGAACUUUCGGGAAAAAAGGUCUACGAGAUUUUGGUAAUGUACUUGCCGCCAUAAUAGAAGUUAUAUCAACAUUUAAUAAAUUACCUGACAAGACUUUACGAGCAGCGUUCCAACGCCAAAAGAAAAAGUAUUUUAAGAUCAACAAACGAAGCAGGCGCACCGAAGAAAAGGAACAAGAUGAAAAUGAUGAAGAACCACAAAUUUAACUGAAUGUUUUUAUGUUAUACUAUAUAAUUUUAAAAUCCUAGUUCUAACACUAUUCAGUUUUAUUAAAAAUAAGACAAGGUUUGGCCAGCCUUGAAAAAAGUGAGCUAUAUAUGUAA